GGUUGUAGCUUAGUGGUCAAGCACUUGCCUAGCAUGUGUGAGGCCCUGGGUUCAAUUCUUAGCACCA
RNAcentral lists this transfer RNA (67 nucleotides) under Marmota monax (woodchuck). Its description in RNAcentral is "tRNA.Ala". Lineage: Eukaryota; Metazoa; Chordata; Mammalia; Rodentia; Sciuridae. The record is from RNAcentral.